RNAcentral lists this ribosomal RNA (729 nucleotides) under Megophrys sp. 31 ZL-2018. Its description in RNAcentral is "partial 12S rRNA'". It matches the Rfam family "Bacterial small subunit ribosomal RNA", at positions 294 to 1398 of the family's 1533-position model. Lineage: Eukaryota; Metazoa; Chordata; Amphibia; Anura; Megophryidae. The record is from RNAcentral.
AAGAAAAAGAGGAGCCGGUAUCAGGCUCAAAAUGCCCAUGACACCUAGCCCCGCCACACCCCCAAGGGUAUUCAGCAGUGAUCAACAUUGUAAACUAGCGCAAGCUAAAUUCAGUUACUAGCUAAAAAAACCGGUCAAUCUCGUGCCAGCCACCGCGGUUAUACGGGCAGGUUUAAAUUGAUAACAUCGGCACAAAGCGUGGUUAGAUUAAAACCUUAAUAAAGCAAAAAUUAAGCCUGGCUGUGAUAUGCUUUCGCUUUUAAUAACCUCAAUUACGAAAGUAGCUUUAACUCCUAUUGAACCCACGAUCGCUAGGGCACAAACUGGGAUUAGAUACCCCACUAUGCCUAGCCCUAAACUUUGAUUACUCCGCCUGGGAACUACGAGCGUCAGCUUAAAACCCAAAAGACUUGGCGGUGCCCUAUACCACCUAGAGGAGCCUGUUCUAUAAUCGAUAAUCCCCGAUUCACCUCACCAUCUCUUGCCAAUACCGCCUGUAUACCUCCGUCGCCAACUGACCCCUUAAGGGAAAUAGUCGGUUAAAUGGCCUUAUUCCAGUAAGUCAGGUCAAGGUGCAGCGAAUGAGAUGGGAAGAAAUGGGCUACAUUUUCUACUAAUAGACUAUACGAAAGAUCAUUAUGAAAUCUGAUUGGAAGGUGGAUUUAGCAGUAAAAAGAGACUAGAGCGCUCUUUUUAAGUUGGCUCUAGGGCGCGCACACACCGCCCGUC